ACCUGGCUGGCUCAGUCAGAAGAGCAUCUGACUUUUAAUCUCGGGGUCAUGAGUUUGAGUCCCAUGUUGGAUG
Molecule: transfer RNA, 73 nt
Filed under: Ailuropoda melanoleuca (giant panda)
Lineage: Eukaryota; Metazoa; Chordata; Mammalia; Carnivora; Ursidae
Rfam family: tRNA
About the family: Transfer RNA (tRNA) molecules are approximately 80 nucleotides in length.
Source: Rfam by way of RNAcentral